This is a non-coding RNA of Penaeus vannamei (Pacific white shrimp), 759 nucleotides long. Lineage: Eukaryota; Metazoa; Arthropoda; Malacostraca; Decapoda; Penaeidae. The record is from RefSeq and is a predicted model, not a curated record.
UAUGGCCAUCAUUACAGAGACGGACGGCGGCGAGGACCAGGUUGGAGGCCGAGCCAGACGAGGCAAGGCAGUCGAAACGGCCCAUCAGCACGCCAUGAUGUCUCGUGCUGCCGGUGCUGGUAAACAGGUGAUUGCGCCAAAUAAACAAAUAAACAAGGAGACACUUAUCAUACAAAGUCCGCAUCAUCUGGUAUUUGUUUAUUUAUUUAUACUUAUCAUUUUGUUAGUCCAGAUGACGCAACAAAAAUAUUUCGAAGUAGGAAAAGAUAAAGAAAACAUUUUAGUGAAUACAAGACACUCAUCACACAUAGUCCACAUCCACUGUUAUUUAUCUAUCAUCUAUCAACAUUUAUCAUCUUCUCUAUUAGUCCAAAUGACUCAACAUAAAAACAGAAACAUGAAAAGAAAGGAAAAGAAAUAAUAGUGAACGUGAGACACCGCGCAGACUGCGAUGGCUAACAAGUCCUCAAGAAAAAGCCUGUUUCCCAAGGCGUCGAAAGCGACUGCCUCUCCGGCCGUGCAUGAGAGAACGUUUCGGAAUGGAAAAAAAGGUAGAAAGGUGAAAAUUUUAGAUAAGUAUGAAAGGAAAAAAUGGUAGAAAGGUGAUAAAAGGAGUAAAUGGUAGAAAGGUGAUAAAAGGAAUAAAUGGUAGAAAGGUGAAAAUUUUAGAUAAGUAUGAAAGGAAAAAAUGGUAGAAAGGUGAUAAAAGGAAUAAAUGGUAGAAAGGUGAAAAUUUUAGAUAAGUAUGAAAGGAAAAAA